RNAcentral lists this ribosomal RNA (454 nucleotides) under uncultured Porphyromonadaceae bacterium. RNAcentral's name for it is "partial 16S ribosomal RNA". It matches the Rfam family "Bacterial small subunit ribosomal RNA", at positions 341 to 792 of the family's 1533-position model. Lineage: Bacteria; Pseudomonadati; Bacteroidota; Bacteroidia; Bacteroidales; Porphyromonadaceae. The record is from RNAcentral.
ACGGAAGGCAGCAGUGAGGAAUAUUGGUCAAUGGUCGGAAGACUGAACCAGCCAAGUCGCGUGCAGGAAGACGGUCCUCUGGAUUGUAAACUGCUUUUGUACGGGAAUAACGUGCGGGACGUGUCCCGUUUGGCAUGUACCGUAUGAAUACGGGUAGGCUCACUCCGUGCCAGCAGCCGCGGUAAUACGGAGGACACGAGCGUUGUCCGGAUUUAUUGGGUUUAAAGGGUGCGCAGGCGGAGGAUUAAGUCAGCGGUGAAAUUUUCAUGCUCAACAGGAAAACUGCCACUGAUACUGGUCCCCUUGAGAGAUGUCGAGGAUGGCGGAAUGUGAUGUGUAGCGGUGAAAUGCUUAGAUAUGUCACAGAACACCGAUUGCGAAGGCAGCUGUCCAGAGAUCUUCUGACGCUCAGGCACGAAAGCAUGGGUAUCAAACAGGAUUAGAUACCCUGGUA